GAGCUUUCAGUCGCGCGCCGGCCGCUGACACGGUUGUACCCCACGUGUGCAUUUAAUCCCCGUUUCGAUAAAACCUUCGUCAAAAAUCCAAACCGCACCCCACCAUCGAGCCGCUUCCCUCCCUCAUUCCUUGCUCGAUAAAAAAAGCGCGCGCGCCUCGCAUGAUAUCCGACUUUGAACAAGCUUACGGUUUAUGUUGAGCAGUUUAUUUAUUCAAUAUUGAACGAAUCGAUGUAAAGAAACUGCCUUUUGCUCAUUGGGAAAAUUCCGAUUUUUCAUAGAUUUUACUCUCUUUCAACUCGACUUUUUUUAUCGCGUUAAAUAUCCUUCGCCUCGGUCGCACUUUUCUCAAGCUCCGUCGUAUCGUGCAUCUCCUUUCUUGCGACCGUGGAACGUCGAACGAGUGACUCGGCAAACUUGAGGCUUCCAGAUUACCAGGAUAAUUCAACAAACUCGACUUUGGCCUGGCAGGAGGACACGAAAUCACUUGGAGAAAACCUACGGAAUGUAGAAACAUUACGACUCGUUUGAAGUUCCGAAUGGAAGAGCCGGCCGUAAGAAAAACACCACACAACAGUACAAAGUGAAAACGCCGGUUGGCAUGCGUGCGCGAGUACACGAAGGUGCGGUUGUGUGUGCGCGUGUGUUCGCUCGACGGGUGGAGCGCCUCGAGGGUGGGUCUUCGAAAUGAGCUAUGAAGAGCAUCCUGGGCUGCCUGCUAGCCUCCGUCUUAAUUUUCCAACUCUCGAACUUUCACGUUACAGCUCUACCACCCGUGGUCAAAAUAGGUGCAAUAUUCACUCAUGACCAAAAGGACAGCAGCACCGAGCUGGCAUUCAAAUACGCCGUAUACAAAAUAAACAAGGACAAAGUUAUACUGCCAAAGACCAAUUUGGUCUACGAUAUUCAGUACGUGCCCAAAGAUGAUUCUUUCCACGCGUCCAAGAAAGCUUGUCAGCAAGUCAAAUUCGGGGUACAGGCCGUCUUCGGGCCAUCCGAUCCCAUUCUGGGACAGCACAUACACAGCAUCUGCGAUGCCUUGGACAUUCCGCAUCUGGAGGUCAGGCUGGACCUGGACGCGGAGGCGAAAGAGUUCAGCAUCAACUUACAUCCCGCACAAAAACUGCUCAACGCGGCAUAUCAGGACGUCAUGGACUUCCUCAACUGGACCAAAGUCGCAAUCGUUUACGAGGAUGAUUAUGGUCUCGUAAAGUUACGAGAACUGGUCCGAUCGCCAAGAUCUCGCGACCUCGAGAUCCACCUCAGACAAGCCGACCCAGCCUCCUACAGGCCAGUGCUGUCUGAAAUCAAGUCCAAAGAGAUUAGAAAUCUCAUCGUCGACACCAAAGCCGAGCACAUGCAUCAUUUCCUACGAAUGAUACUGCAGUUACAAAUGAACGAUUACAACUAUCACUAUCUCUUCACUACUUUUGAUAUUGAGACUUUCGAUCUCGAAGAUUUCAAGUACAAUUUUGUCAACAUCACUGCCUUUCGAUUAGUCGACGCGGACGAUAUUGGAGUUCGCGGUGUAUUGCGAGACAUGGAACGUUUUCAACCUUCCGGCAAUACGAUAUUGAACAAGUCUCGUGUGAUUGAGGCUGAACCGGCUCUGAUGUACGACAGCGUGCAGGUUUUCGCGGUUGGUCUCCGAACUCUGGAACAGUCGCACGCCCUGAGACCCGCAAAUUUAUCCUGCGAGCUCGAGCAUCCCUGGGACGGUGGACUAUCCCUCAUCAACUACAUAAACUCGGUUGAGAUGAAGGGGAUUUCCGGACCCAUAGAGUUCAAGGAGGGAAGGAGAAUCCAGUUCAAGCUGGAUCUGCUGAAACUCAAGCAGCACUCUUUAGUCAAGGUCGGAGAAUGGCAACCUGGGGCCGGAGUCAAUGUGACAGACAGAGCAGCAUUUUUCGAGCCUGGUAUUGCAAACGUGACUCUCAUCGUCAUUACUAUCCUGGAACAGCCGUACGUAAUGCUGAGGAGCCAAGGAAAUUUCAGCGGUAACGAACGUUACGAGGGUUUCUGCAUCGACCUUCUCAGGGAGAUUGCCCAAAUGGUCGGCUUCACCUAUAGGAUCGAACUUGUGCCUGACGGAAAGUACGGCGUUUACGAUUAUGAGACCGGCGAGUGGAAUGGAAUAGUUCGCCAAUUGAUGGACAAGAAAGCAGAUCUAGCCGUGGGCUCGAUGACGAUUAAUUAUGCUCGCGAGAGUGUCAUAGAUUUCACAAAGCCUUUUAUGAACCUCGGAAUUUCCAUUCUUUUUAAGGUGCCCACGAGUCAUCCAGCUCGAUUAUUCUCCUUUAUGAAUCCACUGGCGAUCGAAAUCUGGCUGUACGUACUCGCAGCAUACGUACUAGUCUCCGUUACGAUGUUCGUGGUGGCACGUUUCAGUCCUUACGAAUGGAACAAUCCUCACCCCUGUCAUUCCGGUCCCGAAGUUGUGGAAAAUCAAUUCUCACUGGCCAAUAGUUUUUGGUUCACCAUCGGGACUUUGAUGCAACAAGGAAGUGAUUUAAAUCCGAAGGCCACGAGUACGAGAAUCGUCGGUGGGAUCUGGUGGUUCUUUACUCUCAUAAUUAUUUCGUCGUACACCGCAAACCUCGCAGCUUUUUUGACCGUCGAGAGGAUGAUCACGCCGAUUGAAAACGCCGAAGAUCUCGCUGGCCAGACGGACAUCACUUACGGGACUCUCGAGAGCGGCAGCACGAUGACGUUCUUUAGAGAUUCUAUGAUCGAAACGUACAAGAAAAUGUGGCGGUUUAUGGAGAACAAAAAGCCAUCAGUUUUCGUGCCAACGUAUGAAGAAGGUAUUCAAAGAGUACUGCAAGGAAAUUAUGCUUUUCUCAUGGAAUCGACGAUGCUCGAUUACAUCGUUCAAAGGGAUUGUAACCUCACGCAAAUUGGCGGGCUGCUCGAUACCAAGGGUUACGGAAUUGCAACGCCGAUGGGCUCAGUUUGGAGGGACAAAAUAUCACUUGCGAUUCUAGAACUUCAAGAAAAAGGUGAAAUUCAAAUGCUGUACGACAAAUGGUGGAAAAGUCCUGGAGACACUUGCAUGAGGACAGAAAAGGGCAAAGAAAGCAAAGCCAAUGCUCUGGGAGUUGAUAACAUAGGUGGAGUUUUCGUCGUCCUUCUAUGUGGCUUAGCGUUUGCUGUUCUCAUCGCAAUUUUCGAGUUUUGUUACAACUCCAGAAAAAAUUCACUCCCUGAACGCAGAGAACUGAUCGACUGAAAACGACGAUUUUACACUGCCUUUAUUUCCGGACCUAAAAUAUGAUCACGGGCAAAGGCCACCGGUACCUGCACCACCGCCAACUUGUUCAAGCUCACUUCAAGGCAUACCUCAAGCAUUGCAGCAGCAAAGUCAACAGCAACAAGAAUCUCUGUGUUCGGAAAUGGCACGAGAAUUGUGUCGUGCU
This 3416-nucleotide unclassified non-coding RNA is filed under the name Venturia canescens. RNAcentral describes it as "glutamate receptor ionotropic, kainate 2-like, transcript variant X2". Lineage: Eukaryota; Metazoa; Arthropoda; Insecta; Hymenoptera; Ichneumonidae. The record is from RNAcentral.